This 1787-nucleotide unclassified non-coding RNA is filed under the name uncultured Spizellomycetales. RNAcentral describes it as "sequence contains 18S rRNA gene, ITS1, 5.8S rRNA gene, ITS2, 28S rRNA gene". The stretch from base 748 to 1787 matches the Rfam family "Eukaryotic large subunit ribosomal RNA", at positions 1 to 961 of the family's 3401-position model. Lineage: Eukaryota; Fungi; Chytridiomycota; Chytridiomycetes; Spizellomycetales. The record is from RNAcentral.
GGUUGGAUCAUUACAAAGAUCUUUGAAUAAGGUGUUGGAGGCCAUUGCAGGAUUUUGCCAGCAUCGCCCGACACCUUAUUUCACAACCCACAUCUUGUGCACUGUAAAACUGUCCUUGGUGGUUGGGUAGUAGGGAGCUGCGUGCACACCGCUACCCCGCGCUCGGAGGUUUUGAAACCCCGAGGCAGGCCACCGCCGGUUGGGGGCGAACGCCCCCCUCCGGGUUGUCAAACAAACUUUUGCCUUUCAUUUGUUAAUUCUUUAUGUUUUUUACAAACGACCUUUUGAAAAACGUAAACAACUUUUGGCAACGGAUCUCUUGGUUCUCGCAACGAUGAAGAGCGCAGCGAAAUGCGAUAAGUAAUGUGAAUUGCAGAAUUCAGUGAAUCAUCAAAUCCUUGAACGCACAUUGCGCUCCUUGGCAUUCCGGGGAGCAUGCCCGUUUCAGAAUCAUUUAAACCCAUCAGCCUCCUCUCGGGGUGGUUGGACUUUGGAUUGCAUGAUUCAGGGUUGCCAUUUGCAAGGUCUGGCCUGGCCGCUUCGACCGUAAAAAUGGCUGCUGAUCAUACGUCUUAAAAGUAGGGUCUUGGUCUGAGUCGACUUGUCCAAUCAUGACAAUGAACUCGACAGUGCAACAGAGAUGAAAGUCUUUCUCACUGCUUGAGGUUAUGAUUGUGGCUUGAUUCUGCCGAGUCCUUUUUUGAUUCCAGUACCGGAUGCUGGCUUGAGUGCUUGUGUCUGAGAACUUGGUCUGAAAUCGGGCAAGAAAACCCGCUGAACUUAAGCAUAUCAAUAAGCGGAGGAAAAGAAACUAACCAGGAUUCCCCUAGUAACUGCGAGUGAAGAGGGAAGAGCUCAAAUUUGAAAUCUCGCAGGUCUCACCUGUGCGAAUUGUAGUUUAGAGAAGUGUUUUCGGGGGCAGCUCGGGUAUAAGUCCUUUGGAAUGAGGCGUCAUAGAGGGUGAGAAUCCCGUUUAUGAUCCGAUGUCUGCUCCUAUGUGAUACACUUUCAAAGAGUCAGGUAGUUUGGGAUUGCUGCCUAAAAUGGGUGGUAAAUACCAUCUAAAGCUAAAUAUUGGCGAGAGACCGAUAGCGAACAAGUACCGUGAGGGAAAGAUGAAAAGAACUUUGAAAAGAGAGUUAAACAGUACGUGAAAUUGCCAAAAGGGAAACGCUUGGAACUAGUAUUGCUGAGAGGUAAUCAGCUGUGCCUACCGCAAGGGACGGCACGGUGCACUUGCCUCUUUGCAGGUCAACAUCAGUUUGGCUCAGGGUAAAAAGCUGCGGGAAGGUGGCUCUCUUCGGGGAGUGUUAUAGCUCGCAGACAUGCCUUGGGCUGGACUGAGGUUCGCAGCAUUAUUUGGGUUGCUGGUCGCCCUUUGAAACUCACGCUCGGACAGCAUGCUGAUCGGGUGUGAGUGUAGGAGGCUCGGUUAGUUUAUCACACCAAUGCUUAGGAUGUUGACGAAAUAGUUCCAAACGACCCGUCUUGAAACACGGACCAAGGAGUCUAACAUAUAUGCGAGUAUUUGGGUGGCAAACCCUUAUGCGAAAUGAAAGUGAAAACGGUGGGAUCUUCGGUGCACCAUCGACCGGCCUGGAUUCUUUUGAUGGGCCUGAGUAAGAGCAUAUCUGUUGGGACCCGAAAGAUGGUGAACUAUGCCUGAAUAGGGUGAAGCCAGAGGAAACUCUGGUGGAGGCUCGUAGCGAUUCUGACGUGCAAAUCGAUCGUCAAAUUUGGGUAUAGGGGCGAAAGACUAAUCGAACCAUCUAGUAGCUGGUUCCCUC